GAGUACUUAAGGAGCUAAGUGGGGAAAUAAGUGAACCUCUGUAUUUAAUUUUUCAAGAUUCUUUUGUUUCAGGUAUUGUACCAGAGGAUUAGAGGAAGGCAGAUGUUGUUCCAAUAUUUAAAAAGGGUUCAAAAUCCUUGCCUGGAAAUUAUAGACCUGUGAGCUUAAAGGGACACUGUAGUCACUAUAAGCAUUUCAUCUCUUUGAAUUAGUUAUAGUGCCUGGAGUGCCCUGGCACUGUCCCUCCAUUCAGUGUUGCACCAUGUUCGUGCAGUAUGCCACAAAAUAAGAGUCCCUGGCCACCCACAGUUCGGCCCCUUCAGUAUGUGUAGCUAAGGCAGAGAUUACACACUUCCUUGUUGUCAUACCCAUUCAUACCGUCAGUUGGAACUCUGACAGGCUAAAAUCAGUCAGCUGACACUCUCAGCCAAUCACAGCUGCCUAUUGCUGCUCAGGCUAAUACUUCCAUAUUAGCCAAAGCAGCACAGAGGGGAUGGAUUGCCAG
Non-coding RNA from Pelobates cultripes (western spadefoot toad), 505 nucleotides. NCBI's taxonomy places the organism in Eukaryota, Metazoa, Chordata, Amphibia, Anura, Pelobatidae. The record is from the annotation of a GenBank genome assembly.